Molecule: ribosomal RNA, 480 nt
Filed under: uncultured bacterium
Lineage: Bacteria
Description: partial 16S ribosomal RNA
Rfam family: Bacterial small subunit ribosomal RNA
Source: RNAcentral
GACGAACGCUGGCGGCGUGCUUAACACAUGCAAGUCGAACGAUGAAGAAAAGAAUCGAAGCUUCGGCAGAAAUUCAUUUCGGAUUAGUGGCAGACGGGUGAGUAACGCGUGAGCAACCUACCUCUUACAAAGGGAUAGCCUCGGGAAACCGGGAUUAAUACCAUAUAACAUUGCGACGAAGCAUUUCGAUGCAAUCAAAGCUACGGCGGUAAGAGAUGGGCUCGCGUCCCAUUAACCGGAUGGUGAGGUAACGGCUCACCAUAGUGACGAUGGGUAACCGGGCUGAAGAGGGGAACGGGUACACUGGAAAUUGAGCACGGUCCAAGCCUCCUACGGAGGCAGCAGUGGGGAAUAUUGCACAAUGGAGGGAACUCUGAUGCAGCGACGCCGCGUGAGUGAUGAAGGAAUUCGUUUCGUAAAACUCUGUUCUAUGGGAAGAAAAGGACUGUACCAUAGGAGAAAGCUCCGGCUAAAUACGUG